GAUGAACGCUGGCGGCGUGCCUAAUACAUGCAAGUCGAGCGGACGGACGAGGCGCUUGCUUCUCUGAUGUUAGCGGAGGGCGGGUGAGUAACACGUGUAUAACCCCCCUAUCAGACGGGGAUAACUUCGGGAAACCGGAGCUAACACCGGAUAAUAUUUUGCACCGCGGGGUUCAAAAGUGAAAGACGGUCUUGCUGUCUCUUAUCGAUGGAUCCGCGCUGCAUUAGAUAGUUGGUAAGGUCACGGCUUACCAAGGCAACGAUGCAUAGCCGAACUGUGAGGGUGAUCGGCGACACGGGAACUGGGACAGGGUCCAGACUCCUACGGGAGGCAGCAGUAGGGAAUCGGACGCAAUGGGCGAGAGCCUGACGGAGCGACGCCGAGUGAGUGAUGAAGGUCUUCGGAGCGUAAAACUCUGUUAUGAGGGAAGAACCGAUGUGUAAGUAACUGUACAGAUCGUGACGGUACCUGAUAAGAAAGCCACGGCUAACUACGUG
This 497-nucleotide ribosomal RNA is filed under the name uncultured bacterium. RNAcentral describes it as "partial 16S ribosomal RNA". It matches the Rfam family "Bacterial small subunit ribosomal RNA", at positions 28 to 507 of the family's 1533-position model. The record is from RNAcentral.